AUUUUACAUUGACAUUUUAUGAUAACUAGUCUUAACAUUUUCAUGUGCUAUUUAUUAUCCAUAUAAAAAUAGUAGUAAUAAUAAAUAAACAUUUUUAAUAUAUAAAUAAAUAUUUUGAAGGGAUAAAUACUGUGAUAAUUCAUAGAUAUUCAAAUUCUGUUUCUGAUUCUGCGAAAAAGUUUUGGAAGAUGAAAUGGAUUAUCAACAGACCGGUGUAUCGCUGAGAUCGAGCUUGACGUUUGGAGAGACGCUGUGUGCGGUGUUCAUUCCGCUCAUAGGACUUGUUGAAGCUUUGGUUUUCAGCUUAACCGGUUGCUUCGAUUUCCAUUCUCCGGCGAAGAAGAAGAAACCCUCUUCUACUACCUUCGAUGACAUUCUUGCCCUCGCCAAGGAUUCUCAGUUUACUGUUAAUGAAAUUGAGGCUUUGCACGAGUUGUUCAAGAAGUUGAGUAGCUCAAUCAUUGACGAUGGCCUCAUCCACAAGGAAGAACUCACAUUGGCACUGUUUAAGACCACUACUGGGGAGAAUCUUUUCCUUGACAGGGUGUUUGAUGUUUUCGAUGAAAAAAGAAAUGGUGUUAUAGAAUUUGAGGAGUUUGUGCAUGCUCUCAAUAUCUUUCAUCCUUGUACUCCUCUGGAAAAGAAAAUUGACUUUUCUUUUAGAAUGUAUGACUUGAGACAGACCGGAUAUAUUGAGCGAGAAGAAGUGAGUAUCUUGGCAUGUCCAGGUUAGGCAAAUGGUUGUUGCCAUUUUGUCAGAAUGUGGCAUUGAUCUGGAUGAUGAAACCCUUGAAACCAUUAUUAAUAAGACAUUUCAAGACGCCGAUGCUGAUAAAGAUGAUAAAAUAAGCAAAGAAGAAUGGAAGGCAUUUGUCACUCGAAACCCAACACUCUUGAAGCACAUGACUCUUCCUCAUCUGGCGGACAUCAGCACACUGUUUACCAGUUUCAUUUUCAACACCGGAGUUGAUGAUUCUCACUGGCAACCAUAAACAGUGAGGAGUGGAAGCUUGUUUUGUGGCACCAUGUUGCUGUUCUGAGAAGUAGAUUCCAGUCUCUCAAUAUGCUGUUGAAGGAGAGAAUAGUGGAAGAGGAUGAACACAAAAGAGGGUUGAAAAUCUGAUACAUGAUUGCUUCUUGUACACCUCAUUUUUGAGCUGUGUACAAAAUUUAUUUGUACGGGAAAAUAUGUGAAGAAAUGUAUUUUAUUUAUUGAAAUUUGAGCUAAGCUUGGUUUUAAUCUUCCAUAUAUUUUUUUUAAACUCA
This is an unclassified non-coding RNA of Vigna unguiculata (cowpea), 1266 nucleotides long. The record is from RefSeq and is a predicted model, not a curated record. NCBI's taxonomy places the organism in Eukaryota, Viridiplantae, Streptophyta, Magnoliopsida, Fabales, Fabaceae.